This 72-nucleotide transfer RNA is filed under the name Phrynosoma platyrhinos (Desert horned lizard). RNAcentral describes it as "tRNA-OTHER". The stretch from base 9 to 72 matches the Rfam family "tRNA". From Rfam's summary of the family: Transfer RNA (tRNA) molecules are approximately 80 nucleotides in length. Lineage: Eukaryota; Metazoa; Chordata; Lepidosauria; Squamata; Phrynosomatidae. The record is from RNAcentral.
GCCCGCAUGGUGUAGUGGUUUGAGUGUUAGACUAUGACUCUGUAAACCAGGGUUCGAAUCCCUGCUUGGCCA